AUCUUCUCAAAGUAACAUACUGCCUUUCCUGCUGUAGCAGCACGUAAAUAUUGGCGUGGGCACUUGCUGAAACCUCCAAUGUUAGCUUGCUGCUGCAGUUUGAUUGGCCCUUUCUCCG
RNAcentral lists this microRNA precursor (118 nucleotides) under Petromyzon marinus (sea lamprey). RNAcentral describes it as "Danio rerio miR-16a stem-loop (ENSPMAG00000011917.1)". The stretch from base 22 to 108 matches the Rfam family "mir-15 microRNA precursor family". Rfam says of the family: This family represents the related mir-15a and mir-15b sequences. In humans miR-15a and miR-16 are clustered within 0.5 kb at 13q14. The record is from RNAcentral. Lineage: Eukaryota; Metazoa; Chordata; Hyperoartia; Petromyzontiformes; Petromyzontidae.